AGUCUUAUAUUCAAAUGUGAUGAUAUUAAAUUGCAAAUUUAAAGUUAGGGGUGCCCUUAAGGCUU
Molecule: transfer RNA, 65 nt
Filed under: Staphylinoidea sp. 6 KM-2017
Lineage: Eukaryota; Metazoa; Arthropoda; Insecta; Coleoptera
Description: tRNA-Cys
Source: RNAcentral